AGUGAACGCUGGCGGUAGGCCUAACACAUGCAAGUCGAACGGCAGCACAGUAAGAGCUUGCUCUUACGGGUGGCGAGUGGCGGACAGGUGAGGAAUACAUCGGAAUCUACUUUUUCGUGGGGGAUAACGUAGGGAAACUUACGCUAAUACCGCAUACGACCUACGGGUGAAAGCAGGGGAUCUUCGGACCUUGCGCGAUUGAAUGAGCCGAUGUCGGAUUAGCUAGUUGGCGGGGUAAAGGCCCACCAAGGCGACGAUCCGUAGCUGGUCUGAGAGGAUGAUCAGCCACACUGGAACUGGGACACGGUCCAGACUCCUACGGGAGGCAGCAGUGGGGAAUAUUGGACAAUGGGCGCAAGCCUGAUCCAGCCAUACCGCGUGGGUGAAGAAGGCCUUCGGGUUGUAAAGCCCUUUUGUUGGGAAAGAAAAGCAGCAGGUUAAUACCCCGCUGUUCUGACGGUACCCAAAGAAUAAGCACCGGCUAACUUCGUG
RNAcentral lists this ribosomal RNA (492 nucleotides) under uncultured bacterium. RNAcentral describes it as "partial 16S ribosomal RNA". It matches the Rfam family "Bacterial small subunit ribosomal RNA", at positions 29 to 507 of the family's 1533-position model. The record is from RNAcentral.